UUGCCAUGAUGAUAAUAGAAUUUCUUCACCUGAAGUAGACCAUGUAAUGGUCGUAUGAAAUGAAGAAUUUUGACAACCUGAGCAAA
Small nucleolar RNA from Bradysia coprophila, 86 nucleotides. The record is from RefSeq and is a predicted model, not a curated record. Lineage: Eukaryota; Metazoa; Arthropoda; Insecta; Diptera; Sciaridae.